This 274-nucleotide ribosomal RNA is filed under the name uncultured bacterium. RNAcentral's name for it is "partial 16S ribosomal RNA". It matches the Rfam family "Bacterial small subunit ribosomal RNA", at positions 523 to 796 of the family's 1533-position model. The record is from RNAcentral.
AUACGGAGGGUGCAAGCGUUACUCGGAAUCACUGGGCGUAAAGCGCGCGCAGGCGGCUAUUUAAGUUGGAUGUGAAAGCCUACGGCUCAACCGUAGAACUGCAUCCAAAACUAUUUAGCUAGAGUGUGGGAGAGGAAGAUGGAAUUAGUUGUGUAGGGGUAAAAUCCGUAGAGAUAACUAGGAAUACCAAAAGCGAAGGCAAUCUUCUGGAACAUUACUGACGCUGAGGCGCGAAAGCGUGGGGAGCAAACGGGAUUAGAAACCCCAGUAGUCC